AGUAAGUUUUAUGAUUAAGCUACUAAGGGCGUACGGUGGAUGCCUUGGCGCCAGAAGGCGACGAAGGACGUGGCAAGCUGCGAUAAGCCCCGGGGAGCCGCAAGCAGGCUUUGAUCCGAGGAUGUCCGAAUGGGGAAACCCGGCGGGAUGAACUCCCGUUACAGCCCGCUGAAUCCAUAGGCGGGUAUGAGCCAACCCAGGGAAGUGAACCAUCUCAGUACCUGGAGGAAAAUAAAUCAAAGAGAUUCCGAAAGUAGCGGCGAGCGAAAUCGGAA
This 275-nucleotide ribosomal RNA is filed under the name Acidobacteria bacterium 13_2_20CM_58_27. RNAcentral's name for it is "partial 23S ribosomal RNA". It matches the Rfam family "Bacterial large subunit ribosomal RNA", at positions 1 to 264 of the family's 2925-position model. Lineage: Bacteria; Pseudomonadati; Acidobacteriota. The record is from RNAcentral.